This 28-nucleotide non-coding RNA is filed under the name Bombyx mori (domestic silkworm). The record is from RNAcentral. Lineage: Eukaryota; Metazoa; Arthropoda; Insecta; Lepidoptera; Bombycidae.
AACCUGCUCAAACUGAGACACCCACUGC